AGCCUGGUGGCGGAUGGUCCGCACCCACAUUUCAUUCAUGCCUUCGUGGAUACAUUGGUCUGUGGGAGGCCCCCGUUCGACUCGGGGCCAGGCUA
This is a non-coding RNA of Mycena latifolia, 95 nucleotides long. NCBI's taxonomy places the organism in Eukaryota, Fungi, Basidiomycota, Agaricomycetes, Agaricales, Mycenaceae. The record is from the annotation of a GenBank genome assembly.